UCCAAUAUGGCCGCUAAACCGUGGAAACGGAAUAUCUGGCACUCGCGGGCUAAAACAUAAGCCUGCUAUGAAGGUUAAACCUUAUUUUAUUUCUGUUAGGACAAGAAAAAAUGUGUAGCAACAUGCAAGAUGAAUUCAGUCUUUUUGGAUAUGGAUUUAUAGCAGUUCAUGUUGGUGCUGGGUACCAUUCACUCUUACAUGAAAAGGACUACAAACAGGCCUGCAGAGCUGCAUGUGCUGAGGCCAUGAAAGCUAUCAAGCAAGGAUUCUCAGCUAAGGAUGUUGUGACCAAUGCAAUAACAGCUUUAGAGGAUUUUCCUUGCACCAAUGCAGGAAUUGGUUCAAAUUUAACCAAAUUAGGAACAGUGGAGUGUGAUGCAAGUAUAAUGGAUGGAAAUUCCUCAGCAUUUGGAGCUGUUGGUGCUCUUAAGGGAAUAAGGAAUCCUAUCCGGGUGGCUAAUAAACUGUUGGAGGGAGACAUGACUGGAGCAUCGCCUCUAGGUCUUAUUUCUCCAAUCUUUCUUGCUGGAGAAGGAGCUUUUCUUUGGGCAGUGAAUCAUGGUUUCAUUGCAUGUUGUGAUGAAGAUAUGAUUACAGACAGAAGUGUCCAAACAUGGAAAAGAUGCAAGUCAAGAUUAGAGUUAACUGAUGUAGAUCAUAAACCCAAGACUUUUCCACUUGAAAACCUGUGUAAUGUAUCAAAUGAGGGUAACCACAUGGAUACUGUUGGUGCAGUUUGCAUGGACAGGCAUGGACAUCUCUGUGCUGGUGUUUCCAGUGGUGGUGUUAUUUAUAAAAUACCAGGUCGUAUUGGUCAGGCAAGUAUAUAUGGCAGUGGCUGCUGGGCAACAAGUCGUCAAGUGAACAAAGUUGGAGUGGCCUGUUGUACAUCAGGUUGUGGAGAACAUUUGGUGAAGACCAUGUUGGCCAGAGAGUGUGCCAAGUUGGCUUUAACUAGGGACGCAGUCAGUGCGGUUCAGGAAGGACUCGAGGACGUGUUUUUAGGUUCACCUUUUCUUUCAUCAGUGGAGCACAAGUUAGGAGGGGUGUUGCUUCUGCGAGUGGAGGAAGGGGAGACCGCCGAUGAUUGCACGGUUGAUCUUGUUUGGGGUCACACUACAGAGAGUAUGUGUGUUGGUUACAUGACAGAACAAGAUAAGAGACCAAAGGCUCGGCUCUCCCGCAUACAGAAAGGACAACAACAUCCCGUGUUACUUGAGGGCACAGUUUACAGACCACCCCAUAGAUAGUGUCUGUAUUUACAAAAAAAAAAUCCUCGUUCGAGUGGUUCCGUCGUUUCUCGAGAUGUCAAGCAACGCAUCCGUUACGUUACAUCCCAAAGAAUGACUGCGAAGAAGAUCAGUGGGUCCGUGCAUGUCUUACGAGCUCUCUUUAGCCGAAGCUCUGACAACUCGCCAGCUAAUUCAAGCUGGUGACAUCAAGGAGGAAAAAAAAGAAACAUCUUCCCUUAGGUACUGAGUUCAUCUUGGACAAAGAUGACUUGGCUGGAAACCAUUACUGCGUCGUAGAAAGGAACACCAUGCCAUCUUUAUGUAUAAAUUAAUUAACAACCAUUCAUGUAAUACUAUUCCUGUCACACUUAAUCGGGACUUUCAUGGUUACAACACAAGAUCGAGAAAUGACGUUCGAAAAUCUAGUGCCACAAGAAGAUGGGGUCAUUGGUCGUCAGUUAACUUUAGCGCAGAUAUAUGGAAUGGUUUAGACAUUUCACUAAGAAAUGCAAACUCACUGCCUGCCUUCAAACGUGGCCUGUCCAAAUUUAAUUUUGAAUUUUAAUUGACUUUUGCUAGUAUUACUUUUAGUUAAUACUUGGUGAUUAGUAUUUUUAAUUAGUUCUUAGAUUUAGCUUUAGUUAUUUGUUGCUAUUUGUAUUUUAUCUUUGUAUUAGUAUUUAACUUAAGAGGACCCUCCUGUAAACCACUUUUGUGACGUUGGCAUCCUCAUUUAAGAUUAUAGUAUA
RNAcentral lists this unclassified non-coding RNA (1981 nucleotides) under Stylophora pistillata. RNAcentral's name for it is "threonine aspartase 1-like, transcript variant X5". Lineage: Eukaryota; Metazoa; Cnidaria; Anthozoa; Scleractinia; Pocilloporidae. The record is from RNAcentral.